UCCCCGGUAGCUCAACCGGCAGAGCGGGUGGCUGUUAACCACUAGGUUGGCGGUUCGAGUCCGUCCCGGGGAGCCA
This 76-nucleotide transfer RNA is filed under the name Pseudomonadota bacterium. Its description in RNAcentral is "tRNA-Asn". It matches the Rfam family "tRNA". Rfam says of the family: Transfer RNA (tRNA) molecules are approximately 80 nucleotides in length. Their secondary structure includes four short double-helical elements and three loops (D, anti-codon, and T loops). Further hydrogen bonds mediate the characteristic L-shaped molecular structure. tRNAs have two regions of fundamental functional importance: the anti-codon, which is responsible for specific mRNA codon recognition, and the 3' end, to which the tRNAs corresponding amino acid is attached (by aminoacyl-tRNA synthetases). tRNAs cope with the degeneracy of the genetic code in two manners: having more than one tRNA (with a specific anti-codon) for a particular amino acid; and 'wobble' base-pairing, i.e. permitting non-standard base-pairing at the 3rd anti-codon position. The record is from RNAcentral. Lineage: Bacteria; Pseudomonadati; Pseudomonadota. RNAcentral also lists the same sequence under 1 other name.